CUACCAUGCAGUCGAACGGUAACAGAAAGCAGCUUGCUGCUUUGCUGACGAGUGGCGGACGGGUGAGUAAUGUCUGGGAAACUGCCUGAUGGAGGGGGAUAACUACUGGAAACGGUAGCUAAUACCGCAUAACGUCGCAAGACCAAAGAGGGGGACCUUCGGGCCUCUUGCCAUCGGAUGUGCCCAGAUGGGAUUAUCUUGUUGGUGGGGUAACGGCUCACCAAGGCGACGAUCCCUAGCUGGUCUGAGAGGAUGACCAGCCACACUGGAACUGAGACACGGUCCAGACUCCUACGGGAGGCAGCAGUGGGGAAUAUUGCACAAUGGGCGCAAGCCUGAUGCAGCCAUGCCGCGUGUAUGAAGAAGGCCUUCGGGUUGUAAAGUACUUUCAGCGGGGAGGAAGGGAGUAAAGUUAAUACCUUUGCUCAUUGACGUUACCCGCAGAAGAAGCACCGGCUAACUCCGUGCCAGCAGCCGCGGUAAUACGGAGGGUGCAAGCGUUAAUCGGAAUUACUGGGCGUAAAGCGCACGCAGGCGGUUUGUUAAGUCAGAUGUGAAAUCCCCGGGCUCAACCUGAGAACUGCAUCUGAUACUGGCAAGCUUGAGUCUCGUAGAGGGGGGUAGUAUUCCAGGUGUAGCGGUGAUAUGCGUAGAGAUCUGGAGGAAUACCGGUGGCGAAGGCGGCCCCCUGCACGAAGACUGACGCUCAGGUGCGAAAGCGUGGUGAGCAAACAGGAUUAGAUACCCUGACAGUCCACGACGUCAACGAUGUCGACUUCGAGGUGAUGCCCUUUGAGCGUGCCUGCGUUGCUACGCUGUUAAGUCGACGUCUGGGAGUAGUACGGCUCCGCCACUGUU
RNAcentral lists this ribosomal RNA (858 nucleotides) under Escherichia coli. RNAcentral's name for it is "bacterial SSU rRNA". It matches the Rfam family "Bacterial small subunit ribosomal RNA", at positions 49 to 873 of the family's 1533-position model. Lineage: Bacteria; Pseudomonadati; Pseudomonadota; Gammaproteobacteria; Enterobacterales; Enterobacteriaceae. The record is from RNAcentral.